AACGAACGCUGGCGGCGUGGAUAAGACAUGCAAGUCGAACGCUUGUCACGGGGUAGCAAUAUUCUGUGGCAGGAGUGGCGCAAGGGUGCGUAACACGUGGGUCAUUUGCCGCGAAGCUGGGAAUAACUCGUUGAAAGACGAGCUAAUACCCAAUGUGCUCCUAACGGAGUAAAGCCGGGGACCGCAAGGCCUGGCACUUCGCGAUAAGCCCGCGGCCUAUCAGCUAGUUGGCGGGGUAAAAGCCCACCAAGGCUAAGACGGGUAGCUGGUCUGAGAGGACGACCAGCCACACUGGAACUGAGACACGGUCCAGACACCUACGGGUGGCUG
Molecule: ribosomal RNA, 330 nt
Filed under: uncultured Verrucomicrobiota bacterium
Lineage: Bacteria; Pseudomonadati; Verrucomicrobiota
Description: bacterial SSU rRNA
Rfam family: Bacterial small subunit ribosomal RNA
Source: RNAcentral